CAAAACUAGAGAAGGAGCGAGAGAGGCAUAAAAUAAUUUUUACCAAGUAGAUGUUUUUAGUGCAACAUUGUAUAAUUAAAUUUUUAUAGUAAACUUCAGAGUUUUGAGAUGGAGCAAGAAUAGAGGGAACAAUGAGCAGGAGGGGCUGUUUCAGUGGCAUCACAGUGUUCCCAGGGCUGGUGGACCAUGGGGGCAGGUAGCGUCCAGAGCUGGAGGAUGGAAAGCACAAGUUCCCUAAGCAAGUCUAAAAAAGCGAUGGAACCUUGAAGACAUGUAGUCAACAGCCUUAAACAGAAGGCUUGAGAACACUGGAGUAAGUCACUGCUGUAAACGUGUACAUCCUGACCAUAAAAUACCAUUGGGCUGCAGAAAUCAGUCGUGGAAUUCAAGUAGAUGAGAGAUCCUGGAUCAUGGAACCCUUCUCUACCUCACUACCACACGCAGUUUUUCUUGUAUGGGUUUUAAUUCUUCCUGCCACCAUGGAUUUUGUUUCUGAAAUCUUAUGGAGGAUGUGCUGUAUCUGUGCUUGUGGAAGAGGAAGCACAGGUUACCCAAGGGUGUUGGUGAUAGAGAGGUGCUGAGGGAGGGACCUCCAGUGGGGCAGAGGCUGCCUGGGCACUGAGCUAAAGGCACCCAGGAAGAGAGGCCAUCUGUGAAAAU
This 660-nucleotide long non-coding RNA is filed under the name Equus caballus (horse). Its description in RNAcentral is "lncRNA (ENSECAG00000055785.1)". The record is from RNAcentral. Lineage: Eukaryota; Metazoa; Chordata; Mammalia; Perissodactyla; Equidae.